RNAcentral lists this transfer RNA (87 nucleotides) under Magnetococcales bacterium. RNAcentral's name for it is "tRNA-Leu". It matches the Rfam family "tRNA". Rfam says of the family: Transfer RNA (tRNA) molecules are approximately 80 nucleotides in length. Their secondary structure includes four short double-helical elements and three loops (D, anti-codon, and T loops). Lineage: Bacteria; Pseudomonadati; Pseudomonadota; Magnetococcia; Magnetococcales. The record is from RNAcentral.
GCCGGGGUGGCGGAAUCGGUAGACGCACCAGACUCAAAAUCUGGCACAGGCAACUGUAUGCGAGUUCAAGUCUCGCCCCCGGUACCA